UCCCCGGUAGCUCAGAGGGUAAAGCGUCUGCCUGCAAUGCAGGAGACCCGGCUUUGAUCCCUGGGUCGGGAA
Molecule: transfer RNA, 72 nt
Filed under: Ovis aries (sheep)
Lineage: Eukaryota; Metazoa; Chordata; Mammalia; Artiodactyla; Bovidae
Rfam family: tRNA
About the family: Transfer RNA (tRNA) molecules are approximately 80 nucleotides in length. Their secondary structure includes four short double-helical elements and three loops (D, anti-codon, and T loops). Further hydrogen bonds mediate the characteristic L-shaped molecular structure. tRNAs have two regions of fundamental functional importance: the anti-codon, which is responsible for specific mRNA codon recognition, and the 3' end, to which the tRNAs corresponding amino acid is attached (by aminoacyl-tRNA synthetases). tRNAs cope with the degeneracy of the genetic code in two manners: having more than one tRNA (with a specific anti-codon) for a particular amino acid; and 'wobble' base-pairing, i.e. permitting non-standard base-pairing at the 3rd anti-codon position.
Source: Rfam by way of RNAcentral